AGUGGAGUGCCUGAAAAAGGACAAUUUUGAUAGAAUUGGUCAUGCAGCCCACCCUGCCUCCGCUU
Molecule: transfer RNA, 65 nt
Filed under: Elaptus prionoides
Lineage: Eukaryota; Metazoa; Arthropoda; Insecta; Coleoptera; Cerambycidae
Description: tRNA-Ile
Source: RNAcentral